GCCCUCCCUCUGGUUGCCGACCCUCCGGGGCUAGCGCCUGAGAUCCCUUUCCCAGAGUGCUCUGCGCUGUGAAGAAGCGGCUCCCGGGGACUGGGGGCAUUUUGUGUUGGCUGGAGCCGGAGUAACAAGAUGGCGGCGUCGGCGGAGUGACAGGAGUCCCUCCGGGCGGGAGCCGGCGGCAGUGGUGGCAGCGGUAUCGCCGCCCUAAACCACCGCGCCCCUUUUCCAGCCCGCGACGUCGCCGUGAAAGCGAGGCAGCGGCGGCCGCCCAGGAACAAGUGGCCCAGCCUGGUAACCGCGAGAACCCCCUCAUAAACUGCGGCCUGGCAAAAAGAAGCCGGACUGAGCGGCGGUGAUCAGGUUCCCCUUGACCGAGUCUCGGCCCUGUAACGCCUGGAAAGAGUCAGCGCUUGCCGUUUCCUGCCGCCCUCCUCCGCAGCCUGCUCAGUGGACGAGCCCCAGAGGCCUCUGUUCUCCCCUCAGAGGUGUCGGGGCUUGGCCCCAGCCUCCAUCUUCGUCUCUCAGGAUGGCGAGCAGCAGCGGCUCCAAGGCCGAAUUCAUUGUCGGAGGGAAAUAUAAACUGGUACGGAAGAUCGGGUCUGGCUCCUUCGGGGACAUUUAUCUGGCGAUCAACAUUACCAACGGCGAGGAAGUGGCAGUGAAGCUAGAAUCUCAGAAGGCCAGGCAUCCCCAGUUGCUGUACGAGAGCAAACUCUAUAAGAUCCUUCAAGGUGGGGUGGGCAUCCCCCACAUACGGUGGUAUGGUCAGGAAAAAGACUACAAUGUGCUAGUCAUGGAUCUUCUCGGACCCAGCCUCGAAGACCUCUUCAAUUUCUGUUCAAGAAGGUUCACAAUGAAAACUGUACUUAUGUUAGCUGACCAGAUGAUCAGUAGAAUUGAAUAUGUGCAUACAAAGAAUUUUAUACACAGAGACAUUAAACCAGAUAACUUCCUAAUGGGUAUUGGGCGUCACUGUAAUAAGUGUUUAGAAUCUCCAGUGGGGAAGAGGAAAAGAAGCAUGACUGUUAGUACUUCUCAGGACCCAUCUUUCUCAGGAUUAAACCAGUUAUUCCUUAUUGAUUUUGGUUUGGCCAAAAAGUACAGAGACAACAGGACAAGGCAACACAUACCAUACAGAGAAGAUAAAAAUCUCACUGGCACCGCCCGAUAUGCUAGCAUCAAUGCACAUCUCGGUAUUGAACAGAGUCGCCGAGAUGACAUGGAAUCAUUAGGAUAUGUUUUGAUGUAUUUUAAUAGAACCAGCCUGCCCUGGCAAGGACUAAAGGCUGCGACAAAAAAGCAAAAAUAUGAAAAGAUAAGUGAAAAGAAGAUGUCCACUCCUGUUGAAGUUUUAUGUAAGGGGUUUCCUGCAGAAUUUGCCAUGUACUUAAACUAUUGUCGUGGGCUGCGCUUUGAGGAAGCCCCGGAUUACAUGUAUCUGAGGCAGCUAUUCCGCAUUCUUUUCAGGACUCUGAACCACCAGUAUGACUACACAUUUGAUUGGACAAUGUUAAAGCAGAAAGCAGCACAGCAGGCAGCCUCUUCAAGUGGGCAGGGUCAGCAGGCCCAAACCCCCACAGGUCUUAAAGAUGAGAAGUUGGAUCCAGUGAGUUAGUAUGUUUCCUUGGAAAAAAAAUUGUAAUUAAACUUAAGUUUAAUCCUUAAUUUUGUAUUGUAACUAUUUUUCAUAAAAGCAACUUUAUAUAUCUUACACAGUUUUCGGGGCACUUGGCUGGCUCAGUAGAGCAUAUGGCUCUUGAUCUCAGGGCCUGAGUUUUAGCCCCACUUUGGGGGUAGAGUUCACCUAAAAAAAAUAAAAAAUCUUACGAAAUCUUCACGGCAGACACAGGGUUUAUAUAAAUUACUACAUAAACAUCAACUUGUAAAAUAUUGAAAAAUUGGAUUUUUCAUAAAAUGCAUCAUUUACCAUUGACUGCUUUCAGAGAGACAUUUUCAGGUGGUAUAUUUUGAUUCCAAGCAAAAUACUGCUUGCUACUAAAAUGUGCCAGGCCCUGGAAUACAAACAACAAAAUUGUGUUUGAUCUUUGGCUUCUCGAAACGUUUGUUUUGUCUUGGAUCUAGAAACUUAGUGCCCCAUACAGAUCUCAUGUGAAAUCCCCUCAGUAUAAAGCCAUGAAUGUGUACGGCAGGUUUGAAGGUGGCAUGAAAUAAGUUUGGGGAGCCUACUUCCCUAACCCCAGCCGUAUGUAUCCAGACCAUCUAUUGAGAAAUCUCCUAUGAAGUCUGGACUUUGAAGACAGUCCCUUUAGGUGACUUACUCCUUAUUUCAAUCUCUAUGUAAUUAGGGUGUUUAAAAGCAUGUUAUUCUCUUCGGGUCCACUACAGUCAUUUUUUUGUUCAAGGAAGAGCUCCCCUGCAGCUCAACUCUUCACUAAUUCCAAGAAAUCCUUUCAGUGACGGUAACAUCAUAUAAUACAUUUUUCUGGUUAAAACUUUAGAAGGCACUUACCUAAUACAUCCUAUCAGUUUUUGUUCACGGAAUUAUAUGCUGAGGUUUUCCAAAGCAGAGAAUUUGGUUUCUUAAAUGUAUCUUCAGCACAUGAAACUGUAUACUGCAGGGAUAUCUAUUCCUGGAAAAAUCCCCGGAACUGGUGGACAUAUUAAUAUAUUUUACGUUACUAGUUUUAGUUUUUGAAAAUUGUGUAUAUGGGACGUUUCUUCCAUGGAAAGGUGUGUGUGUAAUAAGUUGUUUCAGCAGUUCACUGUGAAUGUCCAAAAAGUCUUUUAAAGUCUGACUUACUCAGCUAAGAUGGGUUUAUUAUGUGUAAUAGACUUCUAUCCUAAUUACUUUUCUAAAGAAAAGAUCUUUUGAAGUACUCCAUUCCAAGGCCCAUCAAAAGACUAAGAAAUAAGGUGUUUCUUGUUUCUUGUAAAGCCCACUAUGAUAUGUACUAAUUUUCGGUGCUCUUAUGCCACAAGAUUAUAAUUAGUUUUUAUACAUGUUAAAGAGAAAAAUAAAAGAUUCACAUCUGAGACACUUCCAAAUUCAUUUCGCUUCCUUUUAUUCAACUGUAUGUGGUUAUCAGGAAAGUAGUUUUUAAGACAUUUAGGAAGUACUAAAGGGAAAAGGAAAUCUUUUUAGGACAUUCAGAAUCCAGUUGGGUUCACCAUUUCUUUAGUUGAGGUCAGAGAUGGGGAGAAUUUCAGAAGGUAGUGAAGCCAAAGUUGGAUCCUUACAUAAUUCUGUUAUCAUCUCAGUCCCUCUGUUCACUACUCCAAGCCGUUGAUAUUAAGCAUAGUUUUAUCAUAAUCACAUACGUGGAUGUCAGAUUGUUGACAGUCAAAAAAGAGAAAUUUUUUUCUAUCACAUUCUCCUACCAUGUCCAUGGUCUUCCUUGAAUUACCUUCCAGUGUUUACUGGAAUUCACCUACCAUUUAUGUCUAGCUUAACUUUUUCUGACUUCACCAAUUGCUGCUAGGAACGUGGCUGGUCACUCAGCAACGUAACCCAAAUCACAGGGGAAGACCUUGAAAUAAUCUGGAGACUGAUCUUCUCUGAAUACACUCAAUCUAAAGAAGUGCCAGGGAGCUGCAUCUGCUUGCUGAAAUUUUUGUCAGCUUUUUUCAUUGUGGACACUACCACUGGAGAGAAAAGAGCUCAGUAACCCAACAGGAAAUGAAGACGAGUGUGCAAGAAUUGAUUUGUGGUCAUCUGAAUGAAUCUCACAUCUCCAAGGCUGGCUGGACUUACCAAACAUGAACUUGUCAGAAAAUCUGGACGAUACCACAACAGUCAGAAGACCUAGAGGAGUACAGUGUUGCUGUGACUCAGUGGUGUAUAAUGCAGACCAUCUACCAGUUGGGGAAGGAAUCAAUUGUAACAGGAGCAAAGGGAUCCCUUCCUUAUUUUAACUGGUGUUGCAGUGAAGAUGGGUGUUUGGACUUUUAGAAGCCAGGAGACACCACCUAAAUUACAAGAUAAAAACCAAGGAAUCAAUGCACACUGGAAAAAGGAAUGUACUUGAAGAUUGAAUGUUGAAUACUUGCUGAAUGCUCCCAUUGAGAUUUUUCCUACAUAAACUUGAGUAACAUCUUAGGACAAUUCUCUGGAGAAACAUUGAUCCCUGGGUGGAGUAUCCUACCAUUGGCCAAUCUGAAGAGUUACAUCUGGAUCUGACUGCUCUAUUCCUCCAGGAAUAUUUUUAGGCUAGCCUCUGUCUGAUUCCUAAGCAAUUGUAAUCAUUAACUGACCCAGUAAUUUCUCAAAUAUCAGAUGAACAGAUACAAUUCUUACCUAGAUCUAAUUUUUAUCCCUAUUAAAGACACAAGAGUGUUCUAAUAUUUUGACAUUGUAACUUACGUUUUGUUUUUAGUUAGUGAUAGCGGUUUCUAUUUUAAAGCUGUUUGGAUAUUCAACGUAGUAAUUAGAUUAUUCAGUAUAACGUAAUCACAUAGCAAGGUGUGGUAAACAGUUUCAAGCUGUGUAAACAUUUUUCUUGAUCAUAUUUAAGAAUAAUUGCAGGACUUGAAAUCAAAUGCACAUCAGGGUAAGGGUCACCUCUAAUUAGCUAAUUCAUAGUUUUAAUUUGCUUCACAGUAUUCUGUAUUUUAACAUUGGAAUUACGUUACAGAAUAUGGUCUUAAUUUUAAGGGUUUUAAUUCAGGUUUGAUCUGACAGCCUUUUCUUUUUGUGCUUACUUUGCUAAUUCUCUUUAGUAAUAUAUACCAAAUAGAAUAUUCCUUGUGAUGAAGUUCAUUUUCAGAAAUCUUCAUAAAAUUUUUCAUUUUGGCAUUUACUUUAUGAAUUUAGUACUUGGGCAGGCAACAGAGGUUUAUUUUAUUUAUUUUUUUUAACAGAGGUUUAUUUUAUGUCUACUCUGAUAGUCGGCGUAGAGAGCGAAAGAAUGUGUACAGCACUGUCCUCAGAGUGUUAGCACAAUAUGUUUUUAAACGAAUUAAGAUGACUUUCAGCCCUCAAAUGAACAAAUUCCUAAUUAACAAGUGAGCCCAUAUUUCCCCAAAAAUGAUAUAUAAAUGUUUGGUGUUAUCUUUCCGGGGGGCGGGGGAGGGGUGUGUGGGGAGGCAUAGAUUUUAGAAGCGUAUUAUUUGUUCCACAGAGCCCAUUGGAAAUGGUCCAGCGAAUGUUUGAGAAGCACAAAGAAGGGAGAAGUUUAUGAUGAAUAAAAACAUGGUUUCCAUGCUGAAUUUAGAAGUGAGAGAUCAGAGUGGGCUAGAAAGAGCUAUAAUGAGGCCAGCUAUAGGGGUUUGGAAGGGGGUGAACCAAGGGGCAUGGUCACCUCAAGGGAAGGCUUUUGGUGAGAAGAGGUGGUACUGAUGGGGUUUUCGUGUUUUGGCUGAGGAAUGGGCAUACUUCCUUUCUGCCUUGAGCCACAGAUAAAGCUUGUAGGUAAUAGAGAUAAGCAUUUGCUCUAGUGGUCUUUUGCCACAGAUGGAACAUGCAGCUGUUACUACCCGAGGCUGGUUUCUAUUCAAACCUGCCUAUGUGUGGAAGUCUUAAGAGUCUAAUUGUGGCAGAGGGAGGUAGUGUUUACAGGGUGGGAAGGCUUGCAAAGUAAAUAAAGCCAAAACAAAAAAGCCUCACUUGUUUAGGUUUUCAAAUCCAGGGCAAAACUUUUUAAAUGUAUUAUUGGUGGAAGUACAACGUUUUUAAAGGUUUAAGGUUUCUGUGAUAAAAAUCAUACUGACCAGGUUUGUGUUCUAUGGAAUAACUCAAUUAUGUCUUGAAUACAUUUAUUAUUAAAGCUUAUUGCUCCUUAUUUGGAUCAGAAAUAAUGUGCAGAAAAGUUCCUGCAUAUAGUAUGAUUAAGACUAUAGUUUGUAAUUUUUAAGGCAAAACCAUCUUUUCAUUUGUUUGAUAAAUAUUUGAACACAUUCUGUGCUCUAGGUACUAGAAGUCUAGAAAUAAAUAAAACAGGCUCAUUGGAAUUCCCAGUAAUUCUCGGGCCUGAAAAGUGUA
Herpailurus yagouaroundi (jaguarundi) is the source of this 5938-nucleotide RNA transcript. It is a transcript of the gene named casein kinase 1 alpha 1, with no coding region annotated. Lineage: Eukaryota; Metazoa; Chordata; Mammalia; Carnivora; Felidae. The record is from RefSeq and is a predicted model, not a curated record. The transcript has 12 exons.